RNAcentral lists this long non-coding RNA (213 nucleotides) under Vitis vinifera (wine grape). Its description in RNAcentral is "long non-coding RNA (VVIN_LNC006826)". Lineage: Eukaryota; Viridiplantae; Streptophyta; Magnoliopsida; Vitales; Vitaceae. The record is from RNAcentral.
GUAUGUGAAGGUUUAGAGAGAGAAAUAGUGGUGAUGGGUAUGUGGAUAUUUAAAGGGACCAUAUGCAUGGAUGGUUAGGAUGGGUAGGGUGAUGAGAAAACGGGUAUGGAGGGUGGAGGGUUGGAGAUGGAUGUGGUGUGGUGAACAUUUGCAUGGGAAUGAAGAUGAGGGUUAUGGGUAGUGGGAUGAGUGGUAGGAGGUAGAGAGAGAAAA